Acanthosepion pharaonis is the source of this 112-nucleotide non-coding RNA. The record is from the annotation of a GenBank genome assembly. NCBI's taxonomy places the organism in Eukaryota, Metazoa, Mollusca, Cephalopoda, Sepiida, Sepiidae.
UACGACCACAUCACAUUGAAACACCAGUUUCUAUAUGAUCAUCAAAGUUAAGCAAUGUUGAGCAUGAUCAUUACCUAGAUGGGUGACUUCUUGGGAAUACUAUGUGCUGUAA